GACUAGCCGGUGACAAACCGGAGGAAGGUGGGGAUGACGUCAAGUCAUCAUGGCCCUUACGGCCUGGGCUACACACGUGCUACAAUGGUCGGUACAAAGGGUUGCCAAGCCGCGAGGUGGAGCUAAUCCCAUAAAACCGAUCGUAGUCCGGAUCGCAGUCUGCAACUCGACUGCGUGAAGUCGGAAUCGCUAGUAAUCGUGAAUCAGAAUGUCACGGUGAAUACGUUCCCGGGCCUU
RNAcentral lists this ribosomal RNA (237 nucleotides) under uncultured Pseudomonas sp. RNAcentral's name for it is "partial 16S ribosomal RNA". It matches the Rfam family "Bacterial small subunit ribosomal RNA", at positions 1147 to 1382 of the family's 1533-position model. Lineage: Bacteria; Pseudomonadati; Pseudomonadota; Gammaproteobacteria; Pseudomonadales; Pseudomonadaceae. The record is from RNAcentral.